RNAcentral lists this ribosomal RNA (253 nucleotides) under uncultured bacterium. RNAcentral's name for it is "partial 16S ribosomal RNA". It matches the Rfam family "Bacterial small subunit ribosomal RNA", at positions 524 to 776 of the family's 1533-position model. The record is from RNAcentral.
UACGGAGGGUGCAAGCGUUAUCCGGAAUCACUGGGUUUAAAGGGUGCGUAGGCGGUUUUAUAAGUCGGUAUUGAAAGCUCGCAGCUUAACUGCGGAAUCGGUAACGAUACUGUAAGACUUGAAUCAGGUUGAAGUUGGCAGAAUGUGACAUGUAGCGGUGAAAUGCUUAGAGAUGUCAUAGAACACCGAUUGCGAAGGCAGCUGACCGGACCUUGAUUGACGCUGAGGCACGAAAGCGUGGGGAUCAGACAGG